GUGUUCCCUCAGCCCCCUCUCCUCUCCCCUCUCCCAGGGAAUCCUCUGGGCAGCUGCUGUCUCUGGUCUCUGAGCUGCCCCCCCCGCCCCAAAGAGAGAUGCCUCCUCACACUGCCCCACAGGGGCUGGGGAAGCACCCCCUGGCCAGCCAAAGGUGCACCAUUCGCCUGGGGAGCUUAUAGCCAGGGCUGCUGCAACAAACAGCUGUGCAAGCC
Podarcis lilfordi (Lilford's wall lizard) is the source of this 215-nucleotide non-coding RNA. The record is from the annotation of a GenBank genome assembly. NCBI's taxonomy places the organism in Eukaryota, Metazoa, Chordata, Lepidosauria, Squamata, Lacertidae.